UCGAAUGAAUCAGGUUGAAAAGUUUCCAUAAAGAACAAAAAAAAAGUAACGCUAAAAAUUCUGUUCUGGUCAAAUUCUCGAAUUCAUUCAUAAAUUGAUUAUUAUGAUCAAUGAUGAUAGUUUAAUCUUCAUUGAUCUUUGAAUCCAUUCAACCAUCUCUUUCUAUCUUGCUUCGAUUUUCAAAACAAAAACCACCAUUAAUUAAUUAAUCAAUCAAAUCUAGAUUAAUCGAUCAAAACAAACAAAAAGCGUGUGUGUUAAUGUGUAGUGGUUUGUGUACCAUUCUUCGAAGGUUAUUGUACCUUUUUUUAAUUCAUUGAUCGAUUUUUAUUAAUAAUUUUCUUCAUUGUCAUCAUCAUCAUCAUCAUCAUCAUUGUUUAAUUCGUGAAUCAUUCACCUGUAAUAGUAAUCACAUUUCAUUUAGGAAUUUUUUCUUUUCAUCUGCCAACAACCACAUGAUAAAGAUAGAGACAAAUUUUUGUUGUUCAAUUUUGGAACGAAAAAAAGUGAUGAUGAAAAACUUGUGAAUUACUAUCUGCCUUAUUUGUUUGGCUUGUUCCACAUUUUGUGUGGUUUUCAUCAUUGCUGGAUCAUUUGAGGCGUCAACAACAUUGCAUUCACAAGAUGAUGAUAAUGACAAGUGAACAAUUCGUUUUAAUCAUCAAGUUGACCGGAUUCCUGUAAUCAAUGUGAAGAGAUUCGAAUGUGUGUGUGUGUGUCCGAUUUAUUGAUCACCAUCAAUUGCACACAUUGUCCAUAUAAACAUUCCGAACAGAAAAAUAUUGAUUGGAAAUCUAGAUGAACAACGAAUGAAUUUAUUGUGAUAAUCAUACAACGGUUGCCAAAUUGAACAAACAAAACAAAACAAAACGAAAACAUAACCAAUUUCUUUCCAUGAUUUAUAUGUGAAUGAAUGCCAUUAUCUGAUGAAUUCUUUUAAAAAUUGAAAAACCAGUAGCUCAUUUGUUGUAUUUUAUCAAUAUAAUCCGAUUGUUUUGUUGUGUGUGUGUGUGUGUGUGGUGAUAUCAUCAAUCGUCGAUAAUCACUAAAUAAAUUUAACCUUGUGGUUGUGGUGGUAGCAAUAUAUCAACAUAUAUAACAAAUAUACAUCAAUUGUGGCCAAAAAAACAGUAACGACGACCAUCAUCAAUAAAAAAUAAUCAAACAACGACAACAAAUUAUGAAUAGUGAAUGCUUUUUGUGUGAUGAAAAACAAACACAUGAUGAUGAACAAUAUUGUGAAAUGAAUUGACGCCCAUUGUGUUUGUGUUGAAUUGUCAAAUUUGUCUUCAUUCUGCUACACAUCAUCAAUUUGAUUAAAAGUGAAACGAAAAUUAAUUUUUCUUGUUCAUCGUCAUUGUGGCGACCUUAUUUUUUGGUGUAUGAGUAAUUUAUAAUUGUGUUAUGUAAUAAAAUAUUUUGGAAA
Dermatophagoides farinae (American house dust mite) is the source of this 1426-nucleotide non-coding RNA. Lineage: Eukaryota; Metazoa; Arthropoda; Arachnida; Sarcoptiformes; Pyroglyphidae. The record is from RefSeq and is a predicted model, not a curated record.